GGAAGGAUCAUUAUCGUAUAAACUUGAACAGGCUGUUUGCUGGCUCUCGGGCAUGUGCACGCUUGUCUCAUUUUUGUCAUUUCUCCAACUUGUGCACAUCUUGUAGAUCCUGGAAUGGGCUCUUAUGAACUCGCGUUCGAGUCGGGACUGCUGUUGCUUUUUGAAAAAGGCCAGCUUUUCCUCGUAUCUUUCCAGGUCUAUGUCAUUUUCACAACCUCUUGUAUAUGUUUAGAAUGUGUUGGAAUAUAUAUAAUAUAUACAACUUUCAGCAACGGAUCUCUUGGCUCUCGCAUCGAUGAAGAACGCAGCGAAAUGCGAUAAGUAAUGUGAAUUGCAGAAUUCAGUGAAUCAUCGAAUCUUUGAACGCAUCUUGCGCUCCUUGGUAUUCCGAGGAGCAUGCCUGUUUGAGUGUCAUUUAUCUUAUCAACCACUUCAGAUUUCUGAACGUGGCUUGGAUAUGGGGGGGGAAAAUCUUCUUUUUGCCGGCUUUCUUUCCAAGGUCGGCUCCCCUGAAAUGCAUUAGUGGCAUCUGAGCGGCUACUGUAGGUGUGAUAAAUAUCUAUGCCUUUGGUAUGCUGCAUGACCAGAUCGUGCUGCUUCGAAAGCCGACUUGACAAACUUGACCUCAAAUCAGGUAGGACUACCCGCUGAACUUAAGCAUAUC
RNAcentral lists this unclassified non-coding RNA (664 nucleotides) under uncultured Inocybe. RNAcentral describes it as "sequence contains ITS1, 5.8S rRNA gene, ITS2". The stretch from base 261 to 414 matches the Rfam family "5.8S ribosomal RNA". Lineage: Eukaryota; Fungi; Basidiomycota; Agaricomycetes; Agaricales; Cortinariaceae. The record is from RNAcentral.